This 338-nucleotide long non-coding RNA is filed under the name Homo sapiens (human). Its description in RNAcentral is "non-protein coding lnc-ADGRL2-9:4". The record is from RNAcentral. Lineage: Eukaryota; Metazoa; Chordata; Mammalia; Primates; Hominidae.
GAAGAGGGAGGAAAGACAUUAAGCAAAAGGAGCUUUUGAUUCACCAAGGUUAUAGGGAAAGAAGGUCAUGAAUAAAAUAAAACCUGGAUUAAAACUGGUCAAAUAUUAGGCAAGUAAAUUUAGUGAAAACAGCAAUAACAUUUACUCUAAUGCUGUCAUUUUCCCUAAAGAGCUACACAAAUUGUUCAAGCUUACAUGCUUGCUGUUUUCAGAGUGCAUUUCUGACCAACCCAUUAUUAUGCUUACAAAACUACAGAAGUAUGCAUUCAUAACAGAACAAGAAAUCAUGUCAGUUUACAAAAUCAAAGACACAUUUCUGAAACAAAAACUUGUUGUUA